This 76-nucleotide transfer RNA is filed under the name Escherichia coli. RNAcentral describes it as "tRNA-Tyr". It matches the Rfam family "tRNA". Rfam says of the family: Transfer RNA (tRNA) molecules are approximately 80 nucleotides in length. Their secondary structure includes four short double-helical elements and three loops (D, anti-codon, and T loops). Lineage: Bacteria; Pseudomonadati; Pseudomonadota; Gammaproteobacteria; Enterobacterales; Enterobacteriaceae. The record is from RNAcentral.
GAUCCCGAGCGGCCAAAGGGAGCAGACUGUAAAUCUGCCGUCAUCGACUUCGAAGGUUCGAAUCCUUCCCCCACCA